UUGGUGAUUGUCUUUCCCAGCCUUCCCUGUGUCUCUAUUUAAGCCUCUGUGUUCCCCAAGCCCUUUGUCGGUUCACUUGUUGUGCUACUCGUUUCUACACGUCGUGAGAUAUGGUUUGUCUUGUCCUGCUGUCUCGACCAGCUCUCCCGUCCGGAGCUUCCUGGUUCUCCGUGCGCCUUGUGGCCAGUGUUACUUGUUAGUGUUCCUGUUUUGUUUUUGUCUUGUUUAAAGACUCUUUAUAUGUUAAAUACCUUUUUGUUUGUAACCUCUGCAUCCUGGGUCCAUCUCCUUUCUCAAACCGUGACACAAACAGGGUCAUCUCCAGAGAGCCAAGUCACACAAAAGAUGAGGAUGAAGCAGUCGACUCCAAAACGCUUCAAGCUGACACUAAGCAAAUGCCCAUAAUUCCCGGCCUUUCCAGUGGUUUGGGCACAAUGAUCUAUGCAGGCAGUAUCGGGACCCAAAUCGCCAAUGAGCUCAUCAACACCUACAGGAUGAACUCUUCUCCAUCAAGCGGAGCUUCCAGUCCGUUUGGCUCGGCCCAGGAGAAAUGUCCACUGGUUUCCCCUCAAACCAGCAGGAGUGCAUCCAGCAGAGAGGACACAGCAGGCAGUUUGUCCCUGUCCCAGUCCGACUCGAGGACGGCAGCGGGCACAGGCAGUGCAACGUCUGAAAGCACAGG
This is a long non-coding RNA of Pleuronectes platessa (European plaice), 682 nucleotides long. RefSeq lists it as uncharacterized. The record is from RefSeq and is a predicted model, not a curated record. The transcript has 5 exons. NCBI's taxonomy places the organism in Eukaryota, Metazoa, Chordata, Actinopteri, Pleuronectiformes, Pleuronectidae.